This 426-nucleotide ribosomal RNA is filed under the name uncultured bacterium. RNAcentral describes it as "bacterial SSU rRNA". It matches the Rfam family "Bacterial small subunit ribosomal RNA", at positions 29 to 461 of the family's 1533-position model. The record is from RNAcentral.
AUUGAACGCUGGCGGAAUGCUUUACACAUGCAAGUCGAGCGGCAGCGCGGGGCAACCUGGCGGCGAGCGGCGAACGGGUGAGUAAUGCAUCGGAACAUGUCCAUGUCGUGGGGGAUAGCCCGGCGAAAGCCGGAUUAAUACCGCAUACGCUCGAGAGAGGAAAGCCGGGGACCGCAAGGCCUGGCGCGAUUGGGUUGGCCGAUGUCCGAUUAGCUAGUUGGUGAGGUAAAGGCUUACCAAGGCGAUGAUCGGUAGCUGGUCUGAGAGGAUGAUCAGCCACACUGGGACUGAGACACGGCCCAGACUCCUACGGGAGGCAGCAGUGGGGAAUUUUGGACAAUGGGGGCAACCCUGAUCCAGCCAUUCCGCGUGAGUGAAGAAGGCCUGGUGUAAGACUCUUGUCCGGUAGCGAACGGAAGUGGUGAA